GACGAACGCUGGCGGCGUGCUUAACACAUGCAAGUCGAACGGUUAAGCGCCUUCCUUUUUGGUUGUUGUGGCUGAUUGGCGAACGGUGGGGUAACACUUGAGUAACCUGCCCCCUUCUUCUGGUUAACCUCAUGAAAGUGUGGCAAAUACGGGUUAUUCUUGGUCUGUCGCAUGAUGGGUCUGGGAAAGAUAUUGUUUCGUUGGGGGAUGGGCUCGCGGCCUAUCAUCUUGUUGGUGGGGUGAUGGCCUACCAAGGCGGUGCAGGGUCGACGGCCUGAGAGGGUGGACGGUAACACGGGGAAUGCGACACGGAAAAGACUCCUAGGGGAGGCAGUAGUGGGGAAUAUUGCACAAUGGGAGCAAGGCUGAUGCAGCGACGCGGCGUGAGGGAUGGAGGCCUUCGGGUUGUGAACCUCUUUCGCAAGUGAAGCAGGCCUGGCUUGUUUGUGGGUGGGUUGACGGUAGCUGGAUAAGAAGCGCCGGCUAACUACGUG
RNAcentral lists this ribosomal RNA (494 nucleotides) under uncultured bacterium. RNAcentral's name for it is "partial 16S ribosomal RNA". It matches the Rfam family "Bacterial small subunit ribosomal RNA", at positions 28 to 507 of the family's 1533-position model. The record is from RNAcentral.